GCCAGUGAGGGGUAGUGGUCUGAGCGUUGGACUAUGACUCUGGAGACCAGGGUUCGAAUCCCUGCUUCGCCA
Non-coding RNA from Phrynosoma platyrhinos (Desert horned lizard), 72 nucleotides. The record is from the annotation of a GenBank genome assembly. NCBI's taxonomy places the organism in Eukaryota, Metazoa, Chordata, Lepidosauria, Squamata, Phrynosomatidae.